RNAcentral lists this ribosomal RNA (584 nucleotides) under Comamonadaceae bacterium BvORHM045. Its description in RNAcentral is "bacterial SSU rRNA". It matches the Rfam family "Bacterial small subunit ribosomal RNA", at positions 102 to 682 of the family's 1533-position model. Lineage: Bacteria; Pseudomonadati; Pseudomonadota; Betaproteobacteria; Burkholderiales; Comamonadaceae. The record is from RNAcentral.
ACGGGUGAGUAAUGCAUCGGAACGUGCCCAGUCGUGGGGGAUAACGUAGCGAAAGCUACGCUAAUACCGCAUACGAUCUGUGGAUGAAAGCGGGGGACCGUAAGGCCUCGCGCGAUUGGAGCGGCCGAUGUCAGAUUAGGUAGUUGGUGGGGUAAAGGCCUACCAAGCCGACGAUCUGUAGCUGGUCUGAGAGGACGACCAGCCACACUGGGACUGAGACACGGCCCAGACUCCUACGGGAGGCAGCAGUGGGGAAUUUUGGACAAUGGGCGCAAGCCUGAUCCAGCAAUGCCGCGUGCAGGAUGAAGGCCUUCGGGUUGUAAACUGCUUUUGUACGGAACGAAACGGCUCUUUCUAAUACAAGGGGCUAAUGACGGUACCGUAAGAAUAAGCACCGGCUAACUACGUGCCAGCAGCCGCGGUAAUACGUAGGGUGCGAGCGUUAAUCGGAAUUACUGGGCGUAAAGCGUGCGCAGGCGGUUAUGUAAGACAGAUGUGAAAUCCCCGGGCUCAACCUGGGACCUGCAUUUGUGACUGCAUAGCUAGAGUACGGUAGAGGGGGAUGGAAUUCCGCGUGUAGCAGU